This 645-nucleotide long non-coding RNA is filed under the name Gopherus agassizii (Agassiz's desert tortoise). RNAcentral's name for it is "lncRNA (ENSGAGG00000025028.1)". Lineage: Eukaryota; Metazoa; Chordata; Testudines; Testudinidae. The record is from RNAcentral.
CCCCGGCAGGAGCCGGGGCUGGACGGGACGCGAGGCUGGUUCUAUCCCGUCUCCGCGCGGAGCAGCGGCCGCCCUGAGGUGCCAGGCGGGGCGGACGCGGGGGGGCGCUUGUCUCGGGGCAGAGCCCUACCCAUGUGCCCUCCUCUGAGCGGGGGCUCCAGCUCUGCGCCCUGCCCCGGGCUGGGUCGUGUCUCGCCCCUACCCGGUGUCCCGGCGCCCGCUCUCCGCCGGUGCCUGCGCUGCCCUCCCAGCCCCCACCCCAACCCACAGCCAGGCCGAGGAGCCGGCCGGCUAGCGGUGUCUGAGUGACCUCCGUGCGCUCCCGAGCCCGGCUGUGCCGGGUGGGCGACUUGGGUGCAGUUUGUCAUCUCCUUCGUCUUCCCCUAACUGCCUCCACCAGGCAUCAUGAGGUUUCUUAGUGACUUUCUCACACCUUUUGAUGCCUCCAAAGAAGAAAUGCAUCCGCCAGGCCCGCAAGGCACAACUGCAGUUCCUUGAAACUCCAAGAGAGGGCCCUAUACAUCACUAUGGAUCUCCACUGCCUUUGGCUGAGAACCCAAGACAUGUUUCUAUCAAACCUCUAGACCAGAAUGCCUCCAUCUCAUGGGGGUUAUGGUGUUUAGGUUGCUUCAAAUUGCAGUCUUG